RNAcentral lists this ribosomal RNA (426 nucleotides) under uncultured bacterium. RNAcentral's name for it is "bacterial SSU rRNA". It matches the Rfam family "Bacterial small subunit ribosomal RNA", at positions 338 to 756 of the family's 1533-position model. The record is from RNAcentral.
CCUACGGGAGGCAGCAGUGGGGAAUUUUGGACAAUGGGGGCAACCCUGAUCCAGCCAUGCCGCGUGCGGGAAGAAGGCCUUCGGGUUGUAAACCGCUUUUGUCGGGGAAGAAACGGUCUGCGCUAAUACCGCGGGCUAAUGACGGUACCCGAAGAAUAAGCACCGGCUAACUACGUGCCAGCAGCCGCGGUAAUACGUAGGGUGCAAGCGUUAAUCGGAAUUACUGGGCGUAAAGCGUGCGCAGGCGGCUUUGCAAGACAGAUGUGAAAUCCCCGGGCUCAACCUGGGAACUGCAUUUGUGACUGCAUGGCUGGAGUGCGGCAGAGGGGGAUGGAAUUCCGCGUGUAGCAGUGAAAUGCGUAGAUAUGCGGAGGAACACCGAUGGCGAAGGCAACCCCCUGGGCCUGCACUGACGCUCAUGCACGA